This 834-nucleotide unclassified non-coding RNA is filed under the name Hevea brasiliensis (rubber tree). Lineage: Eukaryota; Viridiplantae; Streptophyta; Magnoliopsida; Malpighiales; Euphorbiaceae. The record is from RNAcentral.
AAACUAAAUGGAACAUAUUUGUACUUAAUCAUGUGCAUGAUUUGGCGCUUCAUUGUGAGAACAAACAAUACAAUCCAAUAGCAGAGUAAUAUGGGCCAGAAGACAGGAACAUCAAACACAGAAAAAAAGGUCAUUAGAAAGGCCACACAGAAAGCCUUGGUGAUGGAAUACCAGAACUUAAACUCAGGAAGGCGGCGAACGAAAGGCUUGAACUCAUCAGAUCCUUUUGUUGGCAAAGAAGCUCCAUCCAAGACUUCAAGUUCAGGAUCAACCUUUGGCGACAGAAACCCAAUCAACAAAUUCAAGAUAUAAAUUCCGAGACCAUAUGACACAAUGUAAAAACCUUGAACAUAGUAAACUCGCAACAUAUAAAUUGCCGCAGCUGCAAGAGUUCCCAGCCACCUUUGCAUUGUAUGAGGUGUUGAUCGAUCCAGAUAGUACUGGAAUGCCCUUGAGAAAUCAUUUCUCCACUUGGCAAGAGGUGCCACAGUGGAGGCAGCAUGACCUCCAGCUCCUUCCAUUAAUUAUUACCUUCUAAUUCUCCUUAAAGAAACGUCGCAGUCAGAGCAGGUCCCAGCACCGUACAGAUCCGAUAAAGCUAUAUAAAUGGUAAAGGAAUCUAUAUGGGUACCCAAGGCAAUCGAUCUCUUGUUUCUUGCUUCUCUUUCUUCUAGAUUUCUUGUUUAAUGCUAGAAAUUUUGCAGGUUAAUGCCAUCGUCGUAGCAUAUAAUGUCUCUCCUUGCUGAGUGACGCGUAUCUAUUUUUACCCGUCAAACCUUGAUAAUUCCCCAUUUUGCCCCCCCAUUUCUCUUGAAAAUUCCACCCUAUCCCCGG